CUCGGGAGGCUCCGGGCGGCCCUGCGCGCUCAGCAGCCCGGCGGUGGCAGCGCACAGCACCAGGGCUGCUCCGGCUGUUGGCGCACAGCGCAUCCUUCCGGGUGGUGUGGACGCCGGGACGCGGGGAUCGGAGAGGCAGGGCUCACUUGCUCCGGGAGAAGCCAGCCACCAUACUGUGAGGACACUCAAGCAGCCCUUUGGAGAGAUCUGCAAGGUGAGGAACUGAGGCCUCCACCCAACAACCAGCAUCAGCUUGUCUGCCACACAAGGGAGCUAUCUUGGAAGCAGAUCCUCCAGCCCCAGUCAAGCUUUCAGAUGAUGUAGCCUCACUUGGCAUCUGUUAGCAACCUCAUGAGACUCCAAGCCAGAACCACCCAGCUAAGCUGCUCCCAAACUCCUGACCCACAGAAAAAUCCUUUAAGCCUCUGAUCAUUGCCUUUGGGCUGGUGUUUUUCUGUUGCCAGUGCCAGCCUCAGACCAGGGCAAGAGGGACCUCUGUUAUGGCACUGCACUUUGGAGGGUGAAUGCCUCCACCAGGCAAGGAGUUGUGGGAGCAAUGGGUAUAUUUACUGGAGCCCAUAGACUUCCUUUUAGACCAUUGAGUUUCCAUUUGGGCUGGUGGAAAAGUUCUGGAACUAGGUAGAAGUUGUACAACAUUGUAUGUGUACUUAAUGCCACUGAAUUGUAUUCAUUAAAAUGGUUAAACUUUUUCUAUUAUGUAUGUUUUACCACAAUUUAAAAACUCUAAUCUAAAAAAAACCCAAAUCUUAUUAAAACAAAAAAGAAAUAAUAAAUUUGAAUCUGGCCUUUCAUAUUGUUUUGAAGGUAUAUUUUUAAAACUGGGAGGAUAGAACAUAUUUUAUUAUUUAACAGCAUUAGUGUAUUAGUUUUCCUUUUUUUUUUAGAAAUCAGGAGCAUAUUUUUUUUUUUUUUGAAGAUGUUGGGGGUAGGAGUUUAUUAAUUAAUUAAUUUAUUUUUGCUGUGUUGGGUUUUCGUUUCUGUGCGAGGGCUUUCUCUAGUUGUGGCAACAGGGGGCCACUCUUCAUCGCGGUGCGCGGGCCUCUCACUAUCGCGGCCUCUCUUGUUGCGGAGCGCAGGCUCCAGACAUGCAGGCUCAGUAGUUGUGGCUCACGGGCCUAGUUGCUCCGCGGCAUGUGGGAUCCUCCUAGACCAGGGCUCGAACCCGUGUCCCCUGCAUUAGCAGGCAGAUUCUCAACCACUGCACCACCAGGGAAGCCCAAUCAGUUUUCUUUUGCUGUGUAACAAACAUUCCCCAAACUUAGUGGCUCAAAACCACAUCCAGUGGACUCAGCUGAGCAGUUCUUUUCCCUGGUGAUCCUCCCUCACAUAAAGGAAGAGAGGCAUAUAUAUAUAUAUAUUCCACACAAAUAUAUAUAUAUAUAUAUAUAUAUAUAUUCCAUAUAUAUUUCUCUUCUCUGUCUCUCUCUGUCUCUCUCUAUAUAUAUGUAUGCAAGAUUUAAUUAUAAGGUAGUGCCUAGUUCAGUGUAUAACAUUCUCAGGAUUUGUAACACUUACAUGAACAGACAGAAAAAAUAUUUUCUACUUAUUAUGUGUAAA
Molecule: long non-coding RNA, 1578 nt
Organism: Orcinus orca (killer whale)
Lineage: Eukaryota; Metazoa; Chordata; Mammalia; Artiodactyla; Delphinidae
Exons: 3
Source: RefSeq, a predicted model, not a curated record